This 220-nucleotide ribosomal RNA is filed under the name Priestia megaterium. RNAcentral's name for it is "Bacillus megaterium partial 16S ribosomal RNA". It matches the Rfam family "Bacterial small subunit ribosomal RNA", at positions 1 to 214 of the family's 1533-position model. The record is from RNAcentral. Lineage: Bacteria; Bacillati; Bacillota; Bacilli; Caryophanales; Bacillaceae.
UUCUUCGGAGAGUUUGAUCCUGGCUCAGGAUGAACGCUGGCGGCGUGCCUAAUACAUGCAAGUCGAGCGAACUGAUUAGAAGCUUGCUUCUAUGACGUUAGCGGCGGACGGGUGAGUAACACGUGGGCAACCUGCCUGUAAGACUGGGAUAACUUCGGGAAACCGAAGCUAAUACCGGAUAGGAUCUUCUCCUUCAUGGGAGAUGAUUGAAAGAUGGUUU